UUCUUCAGAUUUUCCAAACCGUAAAAUUUCUCUCACACCUCGCGUCUCUUCUCAUUUCAACUUCUCUCAUCCUAACCACAAAUUUCUCUCACACCUCACGCCGCUAUACACAAACAAUGAAACAACCGAACCAGGGAGAUCAAAGCAAGAAACAACCGAACCAGGGAGAUCAAAGCAAGAAACAACCAUAACAUGAUAAUACCCUUAUCCCUUCAAAAACCCUAAGCCCCAAAAUUCACUAUUACUCAGAUUUACAGUUACAAGCAAUAGCAAAAUAAAAAUAACGAUUCAGUCUGUGAGGGUACAAAAUUGCAGUGUGGGUUGUGUUGUUGUGUUCGAUUCCAACGAGAUGUUUCGCUUUCUGAGUGUUUUUGGCUGUUAUGAGUGCGUCUUUUACAGGUUUGGAGUGAUGGAUUUAAAGGUGGGCGAGUUAAGGUUGAGAGGUGGAGAAGUGUUUGGUUGUUGCUAUGUAAAAAGUUUGUUUGUUCGUGCAAGAAUCUGAGUAUUUGAGCCUGGUUAAAGAGUGAUUGAGAAGGGAUUUUGGCAGAGGUUUGAGUAUGAGAUUGUUGGAGUUUGCAAUGAGUUAUGGUAGGAUUUUCGUGGUGAAUUUUUGCAGGGUUUUGAGAGAAGUAGGCAGAGGUUUGAUGUUAGGGUUAUCACCAGGUUCGGAAGGAAAAGAAAUGGGGUGAAAUUGUUUCAGCACUAAAACUGGAAGGCAACAAUGCAAGGCUAUGUACUCAAGUUCAAAAGCUCUACAGAAAGCUUCUAUACAAGUUUGACAAACUUUACUUCUACAGGUUUCCUGCUUCUCAAACUGCAUCUAGCAGCACCAAAGGUUCAGCUAAAAGGAAACAAGGAUCAACAUCAAGUUUAUCCCAAAUAAUGGAUGAUGGAGAUUAUUCAACAGAAGCAGAGAUAUCCAAGGACUAUCCUAUCAAUGUGACAGCAUUGUCAGGGAUCCUUAUCUAGAAGAACAUUUAAAGCUACUCAUUGCAUUGUCAGGGAUCCUUAUCUAGAAGAACAUUUAAAGCUACUCAUUGGUACUACAUAUUUUUCGCAAAAGACAUACUGCACCAUUUUUGGAGGCAGGGAGUUUUCUUCAAUGCAAGAAUGAUAAUCUUUUGGCUAACACUCAUAUGUUUUGUUCAAGUCCACCCACCAACUUAUCAUCUUAAGCUUGUGUUUACGGUGAUCUUGGCCUCGCAGCAAUUCUCCGCAGAUCGAAUGUUGUUCACUGCAUGGGUAUGUAAACCAGUAGAAGAGUUUUAAAUAAGUCGAUCAUAACUAACAAGCUCUAUUUCGGUUGACAUAUAUGAUUUUGGAAUGUGUAUAUCGAAUGAUCUUCAUAUCUCUGAUUGUUUACAUAAUUUGCAUCUUGGUGAUCACAUAGAGAUUCAGUGGAGGAGAAAUAAAGAAUAUCCUUGUGGUCUGUCCCUUUUUCCAUAUUCAUAUAUUCUUCUAAGCUUAAUCUCUAAUACCAUUUUCUUUAAUGAUUUGUUUUGUUUCUGAAGUUGAUGAAUAUGAAGUUGAAUAUCCUUGUUGCUAUUUCGGUAUGAUAGUGGGAGCAUCGACUUCGUCUGAGUAUGAGUGAUGUUCUUCUCUUAACGGCCGAUGAGGUCUGUUGCCGAGCCUAUUGGCAGUAUACAGGAUGCACUUUCAAAGGAUCCCAAUUCACAUUUCUUUCUAGCUUUCUGCACUACCAUUGAUACAAACAAACACGAAGUAUACUGCGAGGCAGUUACUAACGGUGGAUUGUCUAGAGAGCCUUACCAAUUUAAAGUUGCAUAUGACAAGCUUGUAAUUGCAUCUGGAGCCGAGCCUUCAACUUUUGGUAUCAAGGGAGUUAAGGAACAUGCCUUUUUUCUUCGUGAAGUGAAUCAUGCUCAAGAAAUAAGGAAGAGACUUCUUCUUAACCUGAUGCUUUCUGAAAAUCCAGGCAUAUCUGAAGAAGAAAAGAAACGUCUUCUGUACUGUGUGGUUAUUGGAGGUGGUCCUACAGGGGUGGAAUUUAGUGGUGAAUUGAGUGAUUUCAUCACGAAAGUCUUUGUCACUCAUGUUUUAAACUACGUCUUCUGCAUGUCUAAAGUCUUUGUAACUCAACUUUUUAUAUUUAGUUUUGGUUCAGGUUUAUUAGAUAUUUAAUGUACUUAGUCAAUCAUAUACUGAUGCUAUUGUCAUUGAUGUGUAGACGAUAAAAUAAUUUGUAUAUAGUAAUCAAAUUUUAAAUUCUUUAAAA
Molecule: long non-coding RNA, 2236 nt
Organism: Vicia villosa (hairy vetch)
Lineage: Eukaryota; Viridiplantae; Streptophyta; Magnoliopsida; Fabales; Fabaceae
Exons: 10
Source: RefSeq, a predicted model, not a curated record